This 29-nucleotide non-coding RNA is filed under the name Mus musculus (house mouse). The record is from RNAcentral. Lineage: Eukaryota; Metazoa; Chordata; Mammalia; Rodentia; Muridae.
UUGGGUGACCUUUUUGUGCACUGUUGUGG